RNAcentral lists this ribosomal RNA (447 nucleotides) under uncultured bacterium. RNAcentral describes it as "bacterial SSU rRNA". It matches the Rfam family "Bacterial small subunit ribosomal RNA", at positions 329 to 792 of the family's 1533-position model. The record is from RNAcentral.
GGCCAGACUCCUACGGGAGGCAGCAGUGGGGGAUAUUGCACAAUGGGGGAAACCCUGAUGCAGCGACGCCGCGUGAUUGAAGAAGGCCUUCGGGUUGUAAAGAUCUUUAAUCAGGGACGAAAAAUGACGGUACCUGAAGAAUAAGCUCCGGCUAACUACGUGCCAGCAGCCGCGGUAAUACGUAGGGAGCAAGCGUUAUCCGGAUUUACUGGGUGUAAAGGGCGUGUAGGCGGGCUUGUAAGUCAGAAGUGAAAUCUGGGGGCUUAACCCCCAAACUGCUUUUGAAACUGCGGGUCUUGAGUGAUGGAGAGGCAGGCGGAAUUCCCAGUGUAGCGGUGAAAUGCGUAGAUAUUGGGAGGAACACCAGUGGCGAAGGCGGCCUGCUGGACAUUAACUGACGCUGAGGCGCGAAAGCGUGGGGAGCAAACAGGAUUAGAUACCCGUGUA